Molecule: ribosomal RNA, 460 nt
Filed under: uncultured bacterium
Lineage: Bacteria
Description: partial 16S ribosomal RNA
Rfam family: Bacterial small subunit ribosomal RNA
Source: RNAcentral
CCUACGGGGUGCAGCAGUGAGGAAUAUUGGUCAAUGGACGCAAGUCUGAACCAGCCAUGCCGCGUGCAGGAAGACGGCUCUAUGAGUUGUAAACUGCUUUUGUACGAGGGUAAACGCAGAUACGCGUAUCUGUCUGAAAGUAUCGUACGAAUAAGGAUCGGCUAACUCCGUGCCAGCAGCCGCGGUAAUACGGAGGAUUCAAGCGUUAUCCGGAUUUAGUGGGUUUAAAGGGUGCGUAGGCGGUCGGAUAAGUUAGGGGUGAAAUCCCGUGGCUCAACUUCGGAAUUGCCUCUGAUACUGUUCGGCUAGAGAGUAGUUGCGGUAGGCGGAAUGUAUGGUGUAGCGGUGAAAUGCUUAGAGAUCAUACAGAACACCGAUUGCGAAGGCAGCUUACCAAGCUACUUCUGACGUUGAGGCACGAAAGCGUGGGGAGCAAACAGGAUUAGAUACCCCUGUAGUC